GAUUCUAGCCCUACGUGGUAUGAGUUCCAGACUGGAGGUGGAGGGAGGGAUAAGAGCAGCCUCCGUGAAGAUGUGAUUCUUGAUCUGAGACUUGCAGGGUCAGCAGCUACUUGUCCAACAGAUGGGAGAGUGGGAAAAGGGAGAGGCAGUGGGAGUCCAGAAAUGAACCAGAUGCAUCCUUGGCCAUGGAGGAACACCCAACCUAACUGGAGAGACAAAGGUGGAGAAGGAGAGAUGACUGGGUAAGAGAAAUUUAACAAUAGGUUAAGGAGUGGGUCACUUUCGCAUUCCAUCCUAGUUGCAGAAUCCAUCAAUAAGCAUUAAUUCUAAUUGCUAUCUAUUGCAUGACCUAGGGCCGGGAUCAGCUGACAGCCCUCUAUCACAUACCUCUUCUGUAGCAGUGGCAGACAUUACUAAUUGAUCAUGGCACUCUUUUCACUUGAGCCAGGCGCCACCAUCACCAGUCCAUUGGAGCUGACAUGGGAGAGUCAGUCUCCGUGUUAGAGUCUGCUCGUUGGGAAGGGCCUUGAGUUAGAAGUUGGGAGACAGGCCAACUCUCUGCAUAACACGGACAAGGCUCUAUUAAAUGAAAAGAUGAUAGCUGAUCUUUAAUGCCCUUUCCAGCUCUGACAUGUCAGCCACAAGCAGCUUGUCAAGGACAUCUUUAAGUUGGCACGCAUUGGUUGAGGGCCUACUGUGUGUGGGGACAUGAGAAGUACAAG
This 722-nucleotide long non-coding RNA is filed under the name Piliocolobus tephrosceles (Ugandan red Colobus). RNAcentral describes it as "lncRNA (ENSPTEG00000006791.1)". The record is from RNAcentral. Lineage: Eukaryota; Metazoa; Chordata; Mammalia; Primates; Cercopithecidae.